GGCUGACGGGCCCCGGCGCCUACAUCUCCCAGCGUGCAACGGGGCCAGCCCGGGGCGGAGCGCGGCCGAGCCCGCCGCGGGGCACACUGGGAGUUGGAGUCGGGCGUUGGCGGUUGCGCAGCAUCCGUUGGGGGCGCGCGGCGGGGCUGGUCUUUCGCAGGAGCACGGCAGCCAUUGCCGCCGCGGCCGGGAGCAGCAGUUUCCUCGCGGCCCACAGGACUCAGCGCUCGGCGACGCAUCAACCUUAAGAUGAGUGGGUGCCGGGUCUUUGUUGGACACUUAAGCUCACGUGCUCGGGAACGGGACGUGGAGAAAUUCUUCAAAGGAUAUGGACGCAUACGAGAAAUCCAUCUAAAAAAUGGAUUUGGAUUUGUGGAAUUUGAAGACCACAGGGACGCUGAUGAUGCAAUUUAUGAACUAAAUGGUAAAGAGUUGUGUGAUGAAAGGGUUACGAUAGAGCAUGCUCGAGCCCGAAGAGGAAGGGGCAGAUUCUCACAACGGUUCAGUUAUUACCCCUCACAGAGUGGAUCUAGGUAUGGACCUCCUAUUCGUACUGAACACAGGAUCAUAGUUGAAAACCUUUCAUCCCGUAUCAGCUGGCAGAUCUUGGUUUGCCUGGGUUUGAUCUCGAUUGGCUAGCACAGGUCAUCCUCGGGUUCUUUAGCCACUUCUGGAGACUGGCGACUAUGUCCAGUGCUUUCAGGGCCCCUGGUACCUCCGUGAAGCGUAUUGCUAUGAGCCAUCACUCUGCCUUUCUCAUGUAAGAGAGUUCCUCUUGGCCAGCUAGGUAUUGGACAAGCAACUCUUUGCUUAAGGUACCUUCUUGUAUCAUCUGCCACUCGUGGCAUGUUGCGGACUUGAAAGAUGUCAUGAGAAAGGCAGGGGAGGUCACCUAUGUGGAUGCACACAGAAACAACAGGAAUGAAGGGGUUGUGGAAUUUGCAUCCUAUAGUGAUAUGAAGAGUGCACUGGAAAAACUGGAUGGCACUGAGCUGAAUGGACGCAGAAUUAGAUUGACUGAAGAUCACAGAAGGCAUAGAAGCAGAUCUCGAUCAAGGAGUUACUCAAGAUCUCGCAGCAGGUCCAGGUCUACAGGAUCUUCCAGAUCGGACAGCCGGUCCAGGUCCAGGUCAAGAUCAAGGUCUAGGUCCCGAUCUCGGUCCCGAUCCCGGUCCCGAUCCAGAUCCCGGUCUCGUUCUCGCAGUCGUACACCUAAGAAGAGCUAUUCCCAGAAAAGCCACCGCUCCAGCUUGCUAGCUUCUUCCCCAUCUCCCUCUUCUUCUAAAAGAAAAUCUCGUUCUAGGUCGAGCUCUGCUCGUAGCCGCAGUUAACCUGCUAUUAGAGAUGUAUUAAUGCAUUUAAUUUGAUUCAAGUUUCUUGAAGACUUGAGACAAAUUAUACAUGAGAACUGGGAGGGGAAGAGUUAAGAUGAUGAGAGGAUAACCUCCUUUUACAUUGCCAAAGUGCCUGUCAUCAAAUAGGCCAUCUCUGUGAGGAGAGGCUGUUAGCUUUCUCCUCUUCAGUGAAGUCUGGAGUGGGAAGUCUUUUUAUUUUUUCCCUGCUAUUAGUAAACAUUUAUAUCAUAGAUAUAUUAUGUACACAUAAUGCUGAGGUAAUGGGAUGAGACAAUACGCUGCUUUCUCCCUCUCUUGCCCCAAACUUUCCCCUCCACCUGCAAGGCCUUUGACUUCCAAAAUACUACGUUAGCUUUUGUCCUUGGUAUUAAAUCUGAGAAGAGGAAGUAUAGAUUUUAUUCCGUUACGACUGUGUGGCUACUUUUCUGUGUAAGAAUGAGUGGACCAGCUGAAUUUAGUUUAGAGUUCACUUUUUUUCCCUGUUGCUUGGCUUUACAGGCUGUUUAAGUUCCAGCUUUAAAUUACAUUGAUAAUAUGCUUAAUUUGCAACAGACUUUCAGGAAUACCCAUCAAUCAGUUGAAUAUUGCUCACUUGGUUAGUGAAUCAAUACAAUGUUAACCAGUAAUGAAAGCUGGUAUUUCCUGUUAAGAUGAAACAUACCAUCCAGUUGUCAGUAUUGGGAAUCCAUUCUACUAAUUUUCCAGUAAUUCACUAGUAUGUGGUGUUGUAUGUAGGGGCCUUAUUUGACAGGUGACUCCAUAAAACUGCACAGAAAAUGUCAAUAUGCAUGUCCAUGUUUUUGAUGUUUAUAAAAGUGACAUAGCUCUCAUACCCAAACGUAUGAUACUGAAUAACAUGUGUAUGACUAGCAAUAGACUUGAUGGAAAGGAAGGUUAUUUUAGUAAAUGACAACAGCAAAAAAUCUGAGGAAAAGUGUAGUCAGUUGUGACAGAAAAAGUUAAUCAUGUUAAAGCGUAAAGAGGAUAAUUUCUUUAAAUUUCCUGGAUGCACAGUUGUUUUGAUUAAUAGAAAUUUCCACUGCAAAUACUGUUUGUUCUUGUAAUUUGAAAUUAGAUUUUUUUUAACUUCUGUAUCGUUAAAGAAGGGAAACAUUUUUGGAAAAAUAUGUAAAUUAAUCCCAAAGUCUUAUGUGUGUUUAAAUGUACCAUUCCUAAUAAAAUAAAAACUUUUUCUGGCUUA
Columba livia (rock pigeon) is the source of this 2556-nucleotide RNA transcript. It is a transcript of the gene named serine/arginine-rich splicing factor 5, with no coding region annotated. The transcript is spliced from 9 exons. The record is from RefSeq and is a predicted model, not a curated record. Lineage: Eukaryota; Metazoa; Chordata; Aves; Columbiformes; Columbidae.